RNAcentral lists this long non-coding RNA (1513 nucleotides) under Macaca fascicularis (crab-eating macaque). RNAcentral describes it as "lncRNA (ENSMFAG00000052826.1)". Lineage: Eukaryota; Metazoa; Chordata; Mammalia; Primates; Cercopithecidae. The record is from RNAcentral.
UUCAUAUGGUGGCAAGACGUGGUGGCUCAUGCCUGUAAUCCCACCACUUUGGGAGGCCAAGGUGGGCAGAUCACUUGAGAUCAGGAGUUCUAUUGGGGGAAACCCCACCCCCGAUAUUCAACAUGGGUUUUUUUCGAUUUCCCUAAGUGUUGGCUAGUCUGAGAAAUAAAGGGAAAGAGUACAAAAGAGAGAAAUUUUAAAGCUGGGUGUCUGGGGGAGACAUCACAUCUCAGCAGGUUCCGUGAUGCUCCCUGAGCCAUAAAACCAGCAAGUUUUUAUUAGUGAUUUUCAAAAGGGAAGAGAGUGUAUGAAUAGGGUGUGGGUCACAGAGAUCACAUGCUUCACAAGGUAAUAAAAUAUCACAAAGCAAAUAGAGGCAGGGUGAGAUCACAGGAGGGGGUGAAAUUAAAAUUGCUAAUGAAGUUUCGGGCACGCAUUGUCAUUGAUAACAUCAGGAGACAGGGUUUGAGAGCAGAUAACCUGUCUGACCAAAAUUUAUUAGGUGGGAAUUUCCUCAUCCUAAUAAGCCUGGGAGUGCUACAGGAGACCAGGGCUUAUUUCAUCCCUUUGGCUUCAACCGCAAAAGACAGCCACCCCUAAAGCGGCCAUUUCAGAGGCCUGCCCUCAGGGGCCAUUCUCUUUCUCAGGGAUGUUCCUUGCUGAGAAAAAGAAUUCAGCUAUAUUUCUCCUAUUUGCUUUUGAAAGAAGAGAAAUAUGGCUCUGUUCUGUCUGGCUCACCAGCAGUCAGAGUUUAAGGUUAUCUCCCUUGUUUCCUGAACAUUACUGUUAUCCUGUUCUUUUUUCAAGGUGCCCAGAUUUCAUAUUGUUCAAGCACACAUGCUCUACAAACAAUUUGUGCAGUUAGUGCAAUCAUCACAGGAUCCUGAGGUGACAUACAUCCUCCUCAGCUAAUGAAGAUGAUGGGAUUAAGAGAUUAAAGUAAAGACAGACAUAGGAAGUCACAAGGGUAUUGAUUGGGGAAGUGAUAAGUGUCCAUGAAAUCUUCACAAUUUAUGUUCAGAGAUUGCAGUAAAGACAGGCAUAAGAAAUUAUAAAAGUAUUAACUUGGGGAACUAAUAAAUGUCCAUGAAAUCUUCACAAUUUAUGUUCUUCUGCCACGGCUUCAGCCAGUCCCUCCGUUCGGGGUCCCUGACUUGCUGCAACAGAGUUCAAGACCAGCCUCACCAACAUGUUGAAACCCUGUCUCUACCAAAAAAUACAAGAAGUAGCCCGGCAUGGUACUGCACACCUGUAGUCCCAGCUAGUCUGGAGGCUGAGGUGGGAGAAUCACUUGAACCUGGGAGGCCGAGGUUGCAGUGAGCCAACUUCACACCACUGCACUCCAGUGUGGGCAGCAGAGUGAGACCCUGUCUCUAGAUUAAAUAAAUAAAUAGAUGAAUAAAUUUUAUACAGAACAAUAAAAGGCUUAAAUAGCCAAAGCGAUCCUUGGCAAAAAGAACAAAGCAGGAGGUGUCACAGUACCCAAUUUCAAACAAUACUGCAAGGCUACAGU